This 424-nucleotide ribosomal RNA is filed under the name uncultured bacterium. RNAcentral's name for it is "bacterial SSU rRNA". It matches the Rfam family "Bacterial small subunit ribosomal RNA", at positions 31 to 500 of the family's 1533-position model. The record is from RNAcentral.
GUACGCUGGCGGCACGCCUAACACAUGCAAGUCGAACGAAGUAGCAAUACUUAGUGGCAGACGGGUGAGUAACAUGUGGGUAUCUGCCCUUUGGCCUGGAAUAACACGAGGAAACUUGUGCUAAUACCGGAUAAGUCUUUACAGAGAAAGCUUUAUGCACCAUUGGAUGAGCCUGCACUUGAUUAGUUUGUUGGUGGGGUAAUGGCCUACCAAGACUGUGAUCAAUAGCUGAUUUGAGAGGAUGAUCAGCCACAUUGGGACUGAGACACGGCCCAAACUCCUACGGGAGGCAGCAGUGGGGAAUCUUGCACAAUGGAGGAAACUCUGAUGCAGCGAUGCCGCGUGAGUGAAGAAGGCCUUUGGGUUGUAAAGCUCUUUCGUCGGGGAAGAAAAUGACUGUACCCGAAUAAGAAGGUCCGGCUAA